AUUGAACGCUGGCGGCAGGCCUAACACAUGCAAGUCGAGCGGUAGCACAGAGAGCUUGCUCUCGGGUGACGAGCGGCGGACGGGUGAGUAAUGUCUGGGAAACUGCCUGAUGGAGGGGGAUAACUACUGGAAACGGUAGCUAAUACCGCAUAACGUCGCAAGACCAAAGUGGGGGACCUUCGGGCCUCAUGCCAUCAGAUGUGCCCAGAUGGGAUUAGCUAGUAGGUGGGGUAAUGGCUCACCUAGGCGACGAUCCCUAGCUGGUCUGAGAGGAUGACCAGCCACACUGGAACUGAGACACGGUCCAGACUCCUACGGGAGGCAGCAGUGGGGAAUAUUGCACAAUGGGCGCAAGCCUGAUGCAGCCAUGCCGCGUGUAUGAAGAAGGCCUUCGGGUUGUAAAGUACUUUCAGCGGGGAGGAAGGCGGUGAGGUUAAUAACCUCGCCGUUUGACGUUACCCGCAGAAGAAGCACCGGCUAACUCCGUGCCAGCCGCCGCCGUAA
Molecule: ribosomal RNA, 504 nt
Filed under: uncultured bacterium
Lineage: Bacteria
Description: partial 16S ribosomal RNA
Rfam family: Bacterial small subunit ribosomal RNA
Source: RNAcentral